GAUUUUCUCUUACUCACACUUAGGAUUUCAAUUUCAACCUUCUUAAAUCUCUCCCAGUAGUAUCGCACAUUCUUCUCAUCUUCUUUACCAUGUACGUUUCGCUUUUUCUACUCUAAUAUUUCAUCUCUUAUGUUCUUUCUUUUUUAUCUUUCAUGUUACUAUUUUCUCUUCCAAUUACGUUUUUAUUGCACAUUUCUUCUCAAUCCCGCAUCUCAUAUGUUCUUUUUUUCAUCUUCUCUAAUCUCUCAUCUCAUAUGUUUUUUAUGUUUUAUUAUAAUGU
This 280-nucleotide long non-coding RNA is filed under the name Lathyrus oleraceus (garden pea). RNAcentral's name for it is "Pisum sativum (pea) long non-coding RNA (PSAT_LNC028312)". The record is from RNAcentral. Lineage: Eukaryota; Viridiplantae; Streptophyta; Magnoliopsida; Fabales; Fabaceae.